Long non-coding RNA from Equus caballus (horse), 3516 nucleotides. Lineage: Eukaryota; Metazoa; Chordata; Mammalia; Perissodactyla; Equidae. The record is from Ensembl.
CUUAGCACCCAAAUAUGUUCUUCAUAAAGUUCUCGUUAGAAACGUGAGACCUGUUAAUUUUGACCUCUCAUCCCCUUCAUUUUCAACCACCUCCACCCCUUUGUUCUCCCUUCUCCCCUCUGCUCUGUGCUUCCUCAGAUGAAGUCACGAGGGCCCUGUUGAUUUUCCCAUCAACAUUCUCCUUUCUGCCCUGUCGCAUCAUAAAUAGACUCCUCCGCUCCUUGCCCUUGUCUGAGGAGACCACUUCCUGUCGAAUUGCUCUUUCUCCUGUUUCCCUUGGCUUGCAUAUCCCAAGGCCAUGAGGAAUUGACCACCUCCCCUAGCUCUGCAGUUCUGCUUCCAGAUCACCAUAGACGUGCUCACAUAAAUGUAACCUAGGGGCUGCAAUGUGUCUGCAAGUUGAGCCCUUUACCUCCAUGGUUCUCUGUCUCCACUCUACUUUAGCCACCAAAUGCAGCUGCUCCACCUUGGAUCUCAUUAUCCCUUGGAAAUAUUCCACCUGUGAGAGGGUCCAAAUGCCUCUCUGACCAUAAUCCAGUCUUUCCUAGACCUUCCAGCUCUCUCAUUAAACAUUCAACAAAAAUUUAAUUAGCAUGUACUACACGUAGUAGGAUGUCACUGGGAUACAGUGAUGAACCAAAUAGACGUGGUCUCCUCAUCUAGAGCCUACAUCUCCUGCAGGAGAACAACAAUCAAAUAAUGACUUAAUUAACUGUUAAUUAAUCUGAAGCAAAUGCUGUGAAGGAAAGCACCACUGCUCAUCCUAUCCUGACCACUAAUCCUUGUCUCCUCCACAUCCUCUAGGCACAGUGAGCCCCUUCUUAUCAUCCUUUCUUUUUCCUUCCAGCCCAGACUCUAAAGUACAUAAUUUCAACCACUCUUACCAGCUCUCUCAAUGUCCUAGCCCUUUUUCUUUGGCAGACCAACAAACACAGAGUAAAUUCAGCUUUACAUCUUCCUUCCUUUAAACCAGGGUCCGGAGUAAGGCUGAUAAAUCACAAAUCAGCAUGACUCGGUGCCUUUAAGACAUCCAACCCCAACUGCACCCUCAAGACUGCUCAGUAGUGCUCAUGCACAUGUUCCUUAUCUCCACAGUUGGUAUUUCAGCCUCAACACAGCCUCCGCAUGCUCUUACACCCUUUCCCCUGGACAUGUCUUGGUGUCUUACUCCACAAAGAAAACAUGAACAUGAACUCUCACACCCUUCUGCUCUCUACCCACCCACAUGCAUACAUUAUAUUCAUUCUUAUCUCCUUCUCCCCAUCUCUCUUAAUAGGGAGUCCCUCCUUCUCUCAGAGGCUAACUUUUCCCCUCCUUUCUGGUCUUCCUGUUAUUUUUAGCCCCUUCUCAAUCUCUUGCAUGGAUUUUUCUUUUCACCUCUGUCUAUCCUUUGAAUAUAAAUGUCCCAAGUUAUUUCCCCUGCGACCUAGGUACUUUUCUUACUCUUCCUAGUCAGCUUGAGUGAUUUCCAUCACAACCAGGUCUUCAUUUGUUACCUAUGUGCUCAUUAUGCUAAAAUCUCUCUCUCUUUCUUUCUCGAGAAACCUUUCUCCUGACCACCAGAUGUAUUCCUCCGCCUGGAUGUCCUUAGGCAGAUCAGUCACACUCAUCUCUUCAGGACUGGACCCACCGUCUUCCUCAACAUGCGUAAAUAUGCUCCAGUGUUCCCAUGCUGGAAUUGCAACACUGCAUGCAGCUGCCCAAACGGCAGUAAGAGCCUUGGUGCAGGGGCUUUCUUUUCCCUGCUUCCCAAGCACUGUUGAUUAUUUUUCUUAAAUAUAUUCACCCCUGCCCUCUAACGAACCCCCAACCCCCAGUCCUACUCCAAUAAGGCAAUGGCCUUAUUUCAAGCCUUCCUACCUUCUUUCUCUCUCCCUCUACACCAGCCUCCAAAACAGGUCCAGAAAGAUCUUUCUGUCCGCAAAUCAGAUAAUGUUGCUUUCAUCACCAGAAUUUGCCACUGGCUCCCCACUGGCUCUAGGACAUAGCCUUAAGUCCUUCCACGGUGCCCAGGGCCUUCCUAGAGGUCCCUGCUGGGCUGCUCUUAAUGUCUCUAGCUGUGCUCCAGCAACACUGACCUGGUCAUCACGCUCUCUGCUGAGGACAUCCCUCCUCUCUCUGUCCCUCUAGCAAAUGCUUUCUCUUCCAUAAAGACUCAGCUCAGAUGUGCCCUCUGAGAGGCCCCGAGGAGAUGCUUGGCAUGCCUCUCCCACUGCCCUUCAGUCAUACCUUCAAUAUAGUGAUUAUCUUGUGGUGUUCAUUGUUUGUUUGCAAGUCUAACAGUAAACUCCUUCAGAGCAGAUUACCACCUCUGUUCCCAUUUAUAUCCCAAGUGUCUGAUGCAGUGCCUGGUACCUAGCUAAUGCUCAGGAGAUAUUGGCUGGGAUUAUCUUGAUCCUCAAAACCCUUGGUUGCUGUUCCCUUUUUAUCUGUUGCAGAUACAGCUUCCAUGUCAGGGUCGCAGAGGGGCUGUCCCAUGUCACAGAUCUCUGUCUCCCCCUUCUCUUUUCUCUUCUAUCACUUAGGUUUCUUUCCUCCAAUCUCCUCUUUGAGAGAAAACUCUCGUCUCUCAUGCCAUAUCUUGAAUUUUUCUUUGUUCUGUAUCCUCUUGAGACCCAGCCUGUCCUGUGAAAAUGGACUCAGACCCUCUGGCCAGGCCCCAGCUCUUGUGGCAGGUCAGAAGUGGAACCUGGCACCAUCAUUAUGCACAUUUCCUGGCCUGGCUUUGCCAUCCUUGCUGGCUUCAUCUCAGCUAAUGGGCUUUUGUUUGUUGAUGCCAACUCUUGUGCUAUUUCCUUUUCUAGUCUUGGUUUCAAGUUCCUUCUUCAGACAUUUAGUUACCAGGAAGAAAAGGAGGGAGGGACAUAUUUCUGUGAAGAACUAAAUUAUUAUAAAAUCGUGGUGUCCUUCCUGUCAGUGGUGUGGCACCCACAGGAAGGCAGAUGAGGUGUUCCUCUGGCUCAUUCCUGCUUCCACCCUCACACCCUGACCUUCUCUUGAGAGGUCAGUUUCCUCCUACAUGCCCUCCUGCCCAAGUUUUCACCAGCCUCUUGCUUUUUACCUCCCUCAGUUGGUGGCAAAUUUUCCAGUCCCCAAAUUGGAAAGCUUGACAAAGGCGAUUUUCUUAUUUAAAGUGAUGUGAAGACACAGAGAGGAUGACAUGUGACAGCGUGUUGGAGGCGGAGAUUGGAGCCAUGCAGCUGCAAGCCAGCAACACCAAGACCUGCUAGCAACACCAGAAGCUGAGAGAAGGGCAUGGAACAGAGGCAGCAUGGUCCUGCUGACCCCUUGAUUCUGGACUUCUGCCCUCCAGAACUAGGAGAGAAUAAAUUUCUGUUGUCCUACCCUAUUUGUGGUAAUUCAUUACGGCAGUCCUAAAAAACUAACAUGGGUAGGAAGCUAAUAUAUGUAUAGCUUUGCAUAUAUAUUUAUGCUUAUAUUUUAUGCAAAAAGAAAAAAAAGACUCCCAGAAUCUACAAUGUGAGACACACAAGAAAUUGAUAUUUGAUGAGCAGG